AUCUUCUGGUUGGUUGUUCUUAGUUACGUAUUUUAAGAAGCAAAAGGGUGGUGCGUAACCAGCUCCAGAACCUCCUCUUAAUGUUAAUCUGUUUAUAAGAUUGCUUCUUGGUGUCUGCAAUACACUUACACCUCAAGCUGCUGUUGAGUAUUCUGCCAGUGUGGAAAUAGCUCUGCUUUGCAAACUAAAUCAGUUCCACUCGAAUAUUUUAGAGAGCACCUUGGAAGGAAAAAAAAAAAAGGAAAUAAAAAUGUUCUGAAUGUUCUGGUUAGACAUCUUUCAUGUGGUAUGUUUGUAGUUGCACAUAAAUCCAUUUUUUGUUUCAUCACUAUUUAACUUCAUAAAUAGAAAUGCGUGAGAAAAAUGUCAUAGCAUAGGCAUGAUCUUUGUUUCCAGAGUUUUAAUCCUAUUUUACAUGCUGAGUAAAAUUGAGGUUGAAACCAAAUGCCAAAACCUGGAGCCCCUCCCUGAAAUGAUACUUCCAACUUUUGCAGUUUUAGCUGCUAGCACUGAUGAAUGUCUAAUGUGCUCUUGCUAGAGCAAAUGGUUUGUUCCAAAGUGGGCUUGUUUUCUCUAGCUUAUCCUGUCAUUAGCAGUCCCUCCCUUGUUACCUGCUGACGAGUGCUACACUGUACUAAAUAUAUUACCAUCACCAGCUUCCAUCAGCACAUGCCAUGUGUCCUCAGCUGAGCAUUACUCAGGAAACUCACUGGAUUUUUGACUUUGACCUAAAAACCUGUCUUGCUCAGACAAGAUAGUCUUGAGACAAGACCAGUCUGCUUGAAAGUGUCUCAUUGCCCUCCAUAAACCUCAGACCAAAUUCACACAGUUCUGGCUUGCUGAUAUAAUCUUUCUGAUCAUUCACCUUUCAGUUUCUGCAUAGGCAGAUGAAUUAGCAAAGACUGGUAAGAAGAUUUUCCUAAUUAAGUUAAUUAUGCACUUUAGAAGGAUCUCUGUAGGCGUAGGAAGAAACCAGUGGUGUUCUGCUUGCUGCCUUUUGUUGUCUUCUCUGUUCUGAAAUUAAAUCAGCUCUCGGGCAGCUGCCUUUCCCUGCUCUGUGGUGAGAUAUGCACAGUGUCUCUUAGGAUUAAUAAAUGGCUGUUCCCAAUA
Molecule: long non-coding RNA, 1110 nt
Filed under: Strigops habroptila (Kakapo)
Lineage: Eukaryota; Metazoa; Chordata; Aves; Psittaciformes; Psittacidae
Description: lncRNA (ENSSHBG00005010234.1)
Source: RNAcentral